AGUGAACGCUGGCGGUAGGCCUAACACAUGCAAGUCGAACGGCAGCACAGUAAGGGCUUGCUCUUACGGGUGGCGAGUGGCGGACGGGUGAGGAAUACAUCGGAAUCUACUUUUUCGUGGGGGAUAACGUAGGGAAACUUACGCUAAUACCGCAUACGACCUACGGGUGAAAGCAGGGGAUCUUCGGACCUUGCGCGAUUGAAUGAGCCGAUGUCGGAUUAGCUAGUUGGCGGGGUAAAGGCCCACCAAGGCGACGAUCCGUAGCUGGUCUGAGAGGAUGAUCAGCCACACUGGAACUGAGACACGGUCCAGACUCCUACGGGAGGCAGCAGUGGGGAAUAUUGGACAAUGGGCGCAAGCCUGAUCCAGCCAUACCGCGUGGGUGAAGAAGGCCUUCGGGUUGUAAAGCCCUUUUGUUGGGAAAGAAAAGCAGCAGGUUAAUACCCCGCUGUUCUGACGGUACCCAAAGAAUAAGCACCGGCUAACUUCGUGC
RNAcentral lists this ribosomal RNA (493 nucleotides) under uncultured bacterium. RNAcentral's name for it is "partial 16S ribosomal RNA". It matches the Rfam family "Bacterial small subunit ribosomal RNA", at positions 29 to 508 of the family's 1533-position model. The record is from RNAcentral.